UAGGGAAUCUUCGGCAAUGGACGGAAGUCUGACCGAGCAACGCCGCGUGAGUGAAGAAGGUUUUCGGAUCGUAAAGCUCUGUUGUAAGAGAAGAACGAGUGUGAGAGUGGAAAGUUCACACUGUGACGGUAACUUACCAGAAAGGGACGGCUAACUACGUGCCAGCAGCCGCGGUAAUACGUAGGUCCCGAGCGUUGUCCGGAUUUAUUGGGCGUAAAGCGAGCGCAGGCGGUUAGAUAAGUCUGAAGUUAAAGGCUGUGGCUUAACCAUAGUACGCUUUGGAAACUGUUUAACUUGAGUGCAAGAGGGGAGAGUGGAAUUCCAUGUGUAGCGGUGAAAUGCGUAGAUAUAUGGAGGAACACCGGUGGCGAAAGCGGCUCUCUGGCUUGUAACUGACGCUGAGGCUCGAAAGCGUGGGGAGCAAACAGGAUUAGAUACCCUGGUAGUCCACGCCGUANACGAUGAGUGCUAGGUGUUAGACCCUUUCCGGGGUUUAGUGCCGCAGCUAACGCAUUAAGCACUCCGCCUGGGGAGUACGACCGCAAGGUU
This 549-nucleotide ribosomal RNA is filed under the name uncultured bacterium. Its description in RNAcentral is "bacterial SSU rRNA". It matches the Rfam family "Bacterial small subunit ribosomal RNA", at positions 355 to 895 of the family's 1533-position model. The record is from RNAcentral.